GGGGCUGAUUCUGGAUUCGACGGGAUUUGCGAAACCCAAGGUGCAUGCCGAGGGGCGGUUGGCCUCGUAAAAAGCCGCAAAAAAUAGUCGCAAACGACGAAAACUACGCUUUAGCAGCUUAAUAACCUGCUUAGAGCCCUCUCUCCCAAGCCUCCGCUCUUAGGACGGGGAUCAAGAGAGGUCAAACCCAAAAGAGAUCGCGUGGAAGCCCUGCCUGGGGUUGAAGCGUUAAAACUUAAUCAGGCUAGUUUGUUAGUGGCGUGUCCGUCCGCAGCUGGCAAGCGAAUGUAAAGACUGACUAAGCAUGUAGUACCGAGGAUGUAGGAAUUUCGGACGCGGGUUCAACUCCCGCCAGCUCCACCA
This 363-nucleotide transfer-messenger RNA is filed under the name Escherichia coli. It matches the Rfam family "transfer-messenger RNA". From Rfam's summary of the family: Bacterial tmRNA, also known as 10Sa RNA or SsrA, is named for its dual tRNA and mRNA-like properties. Lineage: Bacteria; Pseudomonadati; Pseudomonadota; Gammaproteobacteria; Enterobacterales; Enterobacteriaceae. The record is from RNAcentral.